GAUGAACGCUAGCUACAGGCUUAACACAUGCAAGUCGAGGGGAAACGAUAGAGAAAGCUUGCUUUUUCUAGGCGUCGACCGGCGCACGGGUGAGUAACGCGUAUCCAACCUGCCCAUCACUUGGGGAUAACCUUGCGAAAGUAAGACUAAUACCCAAUGACGUCUCUAGAAGACAUCUGAAAGGGAUUAAAGAUUUAUCGGUGAGGGAUGGGGGUGCGUCCGAUUAGCUUGUUGGCGGGGUAACGGCCCACCAAGGCGACGAUCAGUAGGGGUUCUGAGAGGAAGGUCCCCCACAUUGGAACUGAGACACGGUCCAAACUCCUACGGGAGGCAGCAGUGAGGAAUAUUGGUCAAUGGACGAGAGUCUGAACCAGCCAAGUAGCGUGCAGGAUGACGGCCCUAUGGGUUGUAAACUGCUUUUAUAAGGGAAUAAAGUGAGAGUCGUGACUCUUUUUGCAUGUACCUUAUGAAUAAGGACCGGCUAAUUCCGUGCCAGCCGCCGCAGUAA
Molecule: ribosomal RNA, 508 nt
Filed under: uncultured bacterium
Lineage: Bacteria
Description: partial 16S ribosomal RNA
Rfam family: Bacterial small subunit ribosomal RNA
Source: RNAcentral